GAUGAACGCUGGCGGCGUGCCUAAUACAUGCAAGUCGAGCGAACAGACGAGGAGCUUGCUCCUCUGACGUUAGCGGCGGUCGGGUGAGUAACACGUGGAUAACCUACCUAUAAGACUGGGAUAACUUCGGGAAACCGGAGCUAAUACCGGAUAAUAUAUUGAACCGCAUGGUUCAAUAGUGAAAGACGGUUUUGCUGCCACUUAUAGAUGGAUCCGCGCCGCAUUAGCUAGUUGGUAAGGUAACGGCUUACCAAGGCAACGAUGCGUAGCCGACCUGAGAGGGUGAUCGGCCACACUGGAACUGAGACACGGUCCAGACUCCUACGGGAGGCAGCAGUAGGGAAUCUUCCGCAAUGGGCGAAAGCCUGACGGAGCAACGCCGCGUGAGUGAUGAAGGUCUUCGGAUCGUAAAACUCUGUUAUUAGGGAAGAACAAAUGUGUAAGUAACUAUGCACGUCUUGACGGUACCUAAUCAGAAAGCCACGGCUAACUACGUG
Molecule: ribosomal RNA, 497 nt
Filed under: uncultured bacterium
Lineage: Bacteria
Description: partial 16S ribosomal RNA
Rfam family: Bacterial small subunit ribosomal RNA
Source: RNAcentral